Molecule: ribosomal RNA, 720 nt
Filed under: uncultured anaerobic ammonium-oxidizing bacterium
Lineage: Bacteria
Description: bacterial SSU rRNA
Rfam family: Bacterial small subunit ribosomal RNA
Source: RNAcentral
GAGCACGUAGGUGGGUUUGUAAGUCAGAUGUGAAAGCCUUCUGUUCAACGGGAGAAUUGCAUCUGAAACUACAGACCUCGAGUAUAGGAGGGGAGAAUGGAACUUCUGGUGGAGCGGUGAAAUGCGUAGAUAUCAGAAGGAACGCCGGCGGCGAAAGCGAUUCUCUGGCCUAUUACUGACACUCAGUGCGCGAAAGCUAGGGGAGCAAACGGGAUUAGAUACCCCGGUAGUCCUAGCCGUAAACGAUGGGCACUAAGUAGAGGGAAUUACCGAUGUUCUCUCUGCCGUAGCUAACGCAUUAAGUGCCCCGCCUGGGGAGUACGGCCGCAAGGCUAAAACUCAAAAGAAUUGACGGGGGCUCGCACAAGCGGUGGAGCAUGUGGCUUAAUUCGAUGCAACGCGAAAAACCUUACCGGGGCUUGACAUGGUAGAAGUAGGAACCCGAAAGGGUAACGAACGGUAUCCAGUCCGUAGCUAUCGCAGGUGUUGCAUGGCUGUCGUCAGCUCGUGUCGUGAGACGUUGGGUUAAGUCCCCUAACGAGCGAAACCCUUGUUUUUAGUUACCAGCGGGUUGUGCCGGGUACUCUAGAAAGACUGCCGUCGUCAAGACGGAGGAAGGUGGGGAUGACGUCAAGUCAUCAUGGCCCUUAUGCCCCGGGCUGCACACGUGCUACAAUGGUCGGUACAAACGGAAGCGAAGCCGAGAGGUGAAGCGAAUCC